Molecule: ribosomal RNA, 461 nt
Filed under: uncultured bacterium
Lineage: Bacteria
Description: bacterial SSU rRNA
Rfam family: Bacterial small subunit ribosomal RNA
Source: RNAcentral
UACGGGAGGCAGCAGUGGGGAAUAUUGCACAAUGGGCGCAAGCCUGAUGCAGCCAUGCCGCGUGUAUGAAGAAGGCCUUCGGGUUGUAAAGUACUUUCAGCAGUGAGGAAGGCGGAGUCGUUAAUAGCGGCCUCGUUUGACGUUAGCUGCAGAAGAAGCACCGGCUAACUCCGUGCCAGCAGCCGCGGUAAUACGGAGGGUGCGAGCGUUAAUCGGAAUUUACUGGGCGUAAAGCGCAUGCAGGUGGUUUGUUAAGUCAGAUGUGAAAGCCCGGGGCUCAACCUCGGAAUUGCAUUUGAAACUGGCAGACUAGAGUACUGUAGAGGGGGUAGAAUUUCAGGUGUAGCGGUGAAAUGCGUAGAGAUCUGAAGGAAUACCGGUGGCGAAGGCGGCCCCCUGGACAGAUACUGACACUCAGAUGCGAAAGCGUGGGGAGCAAACAGGAUUAGAUACCCUGGUAG